This 439-nucleotide ribosomal RNA is filed under the name uncultured Escherichia sp. RNAcentral's name for it is "bacterial SSU rRNA". It matches the Rfam family "Bacterial small subunit ribosomal RNA", at positions 957 to 1396 of the family's 1533-position model. Lineage: Bacteria; Pseudomonadati; Pseudomonadota; Gammaproteobacteria; Enterobacterales; Enterobacteriaceae. The record is from RNAcentral.
CAACGCGAAGAACCUUACCUGGUCUUGACAUCCACGGAAGUUUUCAGAGAUGAGAAUGUGCCUUCGGGAACCGUGAAACAGGUGCUGCAUGGCUGUCGUCAGCUCGUGUUGUGAAAUGUUGGGUUAAGUCCCGCAACGAGCGCAACCCUUAUCCUUUGUUGCCAGCGGUCCGGCCGGGAACUCAAAGGAGACUGCCAGUGAUAAACUGGAGGAAGGUGGGGAUGACGUCAAGUCAUCAUGGCCCUUACGACCAGGGCUACACACGUGCUACAAUGGCGCAUACAAAGAGAAGCGACCUCGCGAGAGCAAGCGGACCUCAUAAAGUGCGUCGUAGUCCGGAUUGGAGUCUGCAACUCGACUCCAUGAAGUCGGAAUCGCUAGUAAUCGUGGAUCAGAAUGCCACGGUGAAUACGUUCCCGGGCCUUGUACACACCGCCCG